CCUACGGGUGGCAGCAGUGGGGAAUAUUGGGCAAUGGGCGCAAGCCUGACCCAGCAACGCCGCGUGAAGGAAGAAGGCUUUCGGGUUGUAAACUUCUUUUGUCAGGGACGAAGCAAGUGACGGUACCUGACGAAUAAGCCACGGCUAACUACGGGCCAGCAGCCGCGGUAAUACGGCGGUGGCAAGCGUUAUCCGGAUUUAUUGGGUGUAAAGGGCGUGUAGGCGGGAAUGCAAGUCAGAUGGGAAAACUAUGGGCCCAACCCACAGCCUGCAUUUGGAACUGGAUUUCUUGAGUGCUGGAGAGGCAAGCGGAAUGCGGGGUGUAGCGGUGAAAUGCGUAGAUAUAGGGCAGAACACCAGUGGCGAAGGCAGAUUGCUGGACAGUAACUGACGCUGAGGCGCGAAAGCGUGGGGAGCGAACAGGAUUAGAUACCCGAGUAGUC
RNAcentral lists this ribosomal RNA (443 nucleotides) under uncultured bacterium. RNAcentral describes it as "partial 16S ribosomal RNA". It matches the Rfam family "Bacterial small subunit ribosomal RNA", at positions 338 to 795 of the family's 1533-position model. The record is from RNAcentral.